Molecule: unclassified non-coding RNA, 200 nt
Filed under: soil metagenome
Description: partial contains internal transcribed spacer 2 and large subunit ribosomal RNA
Source: RNAcentral
CUGUUCGAGCGUCAUUUCAACCCUCAAGCCUAGCUUGGUCUUGGGCCCUGCCGGCAACGGCUGGCCUUAAUCAGUGGCGGUGCAUCGAGCUCUACGCGUAGUAAUUAAACCCUCGCGUGUGAGUCCCGGUGGACGCUUGCCAGCAACCCCCACUUUCUAUGGUUGACCUCGGAUCAGGUAGGGAUACCCGCUGAACUUAA